AUCUGGAUAGCUCAGUUGGCUAGAGCGUGGAGCUGAUAACACCAAGGUUGCAGGUUUGAUCCCCGUAUAGGACA
Molecule: non-coding RNA, 74 nt
Organism: Podarcis lilfordi (Lilford's wall lizard)
Lineage: Eukaryota; Metazoa; Chordata; Lepidosauria; Squamata; Lacertidae
Source: the annotation of a GenBank genome assembly